AAAGGAAUAGACGGGGACCCGCACAAGCAGCGGAGCGUGUUGUUUAAUUCGAAGAUACUCGAAGAACCUUACCAAGACUUGACAUCGCCUGACCGGUGUGGAAACACAUUUUUCGCAGCAAUGCGACAGGCAGACAGGUGGUGCAUGGUUGUCGUCAGCUCGUGUCGUGAGAUGUUGGGUUAAGUCCCGCAACGAGCGCAACCCUUACGGUUAGUUGCCAAUAUUAAGUUAGGAACUCUGACCGGACUGCCGUGGAUAUAACACGGAGGAAGGCGGGGAUGACGUCAAAUCAUCAUGCCCCUUACGUCUUGGGCUACAAACGCGCUACAAUGGCGGUUACAAAGAGCAGCGAAGCGGCAACGCGGAGCCAAUCUCAAAAAAGCCGUCUCAGUUCAGACUGUGGGCUGCAACCCGCCCACACGAAGGUGGAGUUGCUAGUAAUCCCGAAUCAGCAUGUCGGGGUGAAUGCGUUCCCGGGUCUUGUACACACCGCCCGU
Molecule: ribosomal RNA, 497 nt
Filed under: uncultured bacterium
Lineage: Bacteria
Description: bacterial SSU rRNA
Rfam family: Bacterial small subunit ribosomal RNA
Source: RNAcentral